Molecule: ribosomal RNA, 427 nt
Filed under: uncultured bacterium
Lineage: Bacteria
Description: bacterial SSU rRNA
Rfam family: Bacterial small subunit ribosomal RNA
Source: RNAcentral
GUGGGGAAUAUUGGGCAAUGGGGGAAACCCUGACCCAGCGACGCCGCGUGAGGGAAGACGGUCUUCGGAUUGUAAACCUCUUUCAGCAGGGAAGAAGAAGUGACGGUACCUGCAGAAGAAGCCACGGCUAACUACGUGCCAGCAGCCGCGGUAAUACGUAGGUGGCAAGCGUUAUCCGGAUUUAUUGGGUGUAAAGGGUGUGUAGGCGGGACUGCAAGUCAGACGUGAAAAUCAUGGGCUCAACCCAUGACUUGCGUUUGAAACUGCGGUUCUUGAGAGUGGGAGAGGUAAACGGAAUUCCUGGUGUAGCGGUGAAAUGCGUAGAUAUCAGGAGGAACACCGGUGGCGAAGGCGGUUUACUGGACCACAACUGACGCUGAGACACGAAAGCGUGGGGAGCAAACAGGAUUAGAAACCCUAGUAGUCC